CCUACGGGAGGCAGCAGUGAGGAAUAUUGGUCAAUGGGCGGGAGUCUGAACCAGCCAAGUCGCGUGAGGGAAGACGGUCCUACGGAUUGUAAACCUCUUUUGCCGGGGAGCAACGGGGUCCUUGCGAGGGCCCUAUGAGAGUACCCGGAGAAAAAGCAUCGGCAAACUCCGUGCCAGCAGCCGCGGUAAUACGGAGGAUGCGAGCGUUAUCCGGAUUUUUUGGGUUUAAAGGGUGCGUAGGCGGAAUAUCAAGUCAGCGGUAAAAAUUCGGGGCUCAACCCCAUCGAGCCGUUGAAACUGAUGUUCUUGAGUGGGCGAGAGGUAUGCGGAAUGCGUGGUGUAGCGGUGAAAUGCAUAGAUAUCACGCAGAACUCCGAUUGCGAAGGCAGCAUACCGGUGCCCAACUGACGCUGAAGCACGAAAGCGUGGGUAUCGAACAGGAUUAGAUACCCGUGUAGUC
This 460-nucleotide ribosomal RNA is filed under the name uncultured bacterium. Its description in RNAcentral is "partial 16S ribosomal RNA". It matches the Rfam family "Bacterial small subunit ribosomal RNA", at positions 338 to 795 of the family's 1533-position model. The record is from RNAcentral.